Molecule: ribosomal RNA, 651 nt
Filed under: Bacillus sp. SCULCB HNA-16
Lineage: Bacteria; Bacillati; Bacillota; Bacilli; Caryophanales; Bacillaceae
Description: bacterial SSU rRNA
Rfam family: Bacterial small subunit ribosomal RNA
Source: RNAcentral
CGAGCGGACAGAUGGGAGCUUGCUCCCUGAUGUUAGCGGCGGACGGGUGAGUAACACGUGGGUAACCUGCCUGUAAGACUGGGAUAACUCCGGGAAACCGGGGCUAAUACCGGAUGCUUGUUUGAACCGCAUGGUUCAAACAUAAAAGGUGGCUUCGGCUACCACUUACAGAUGGACCCGCGGCGCAUUAGCUAGUUGGUGAGGUAACGGCUCACCAAGGCAACGAUGCGUAGCCGACCUGAGAGGGUGAUCGGCCACACUGGGACUGAGACACGGCCCAGACUCCUACGGGAGGCAGCAGUAGGGAAUCUUCCGCAAUGGACGAAAGUCUGACGGAGCAACGCCGCGUGAGUGAUGAAGGUUUUCGGAUCGUAAAGCUCUGUUGUUAGGGAAGAACAAGUACCGUUCGAAUAGGGCGGUACCUUGACGGUACCUAACCAGAAAGCCACGGCUAACUACGUGCCAGCAGCCGCGGUAAUACGUAGGUGGCAAGCGUUGUCCGGAAUUAUUGGGCGUAAAGGGCUCGCAGGCGGUUUCUUAAGUCUGAUGUGAAAGCCCCCGGCUCAACCGGGGAGGGUCAUUGGAAACUGGGGAACUUGAGUGCAGAAGAGGAGAGUGGAAUUCCACGUGUAGCGGUGAAAUGCGCAGAUA